GCAUUAUUAAUACCUUGUGUGGGUCUCCAAAACCCGAUGUGGUAGGUUCAAAUCCUACAUAGCGUG
RNAcentral lists this transfer RNA (66 nucleotides) under Nicotiana attenuata. It matches the Rfam family "tRNA". From Rfam's summary of the family: Transfer RNA (tRNA) molecules are approximately 80 nucleotides in length. Their secondary structure includes four short double-helical elements and three loops (D, anti-codon, and T loops). Lineage: Eukaryota; Viridiplantae; Streptophyta; Magnoliopsida; Solanales; Solanaceae. The record is from Rfam by way of RNAcentral.